CCAGAGGGCCGGGCGGCCGCGGCGUGGCGGGUAACUUCCACGGCGAGGAAAGUCCGGGCUCCACGAAAUGACGGUGCCGGUUAACGACCGGCUGGAGUGAUCCAAGGGACAGUGCAACAGAAAGCAGAUCGCUAGGGUUUCGACCCAGUGACAUUGAAAGGGUGCGGUAAGAGCGCACCGCGUCCCCGGCAACGGGUGACGGCACGGUAAACCCCACCGGGAGCAAGACCGAAUAGGGGCGGCGCGCGACGUCAUGUCGCUAGGCCUGUUUCGGCCGAGACCGCCCGGGUUGGUUGCUUGAGGGACGGAGCAAUCCGUCUCCUAGAGGAAUGGCCGCACAUCUCUCCGUGCUUCGGUUCGGGGGGAGGACAAAACCCGGCUUACAGGCCCUCUGGCAAA
Molecule: RNase P RNA, 399 nt
Filed under: bacterium
Lineage: Bacteria
Description: RNase P RNA component class A
Rfam family: Bacterial RNase P class A
About the family: Ribonuclease P (RNase P) is a ubiquitous endoribonuclease, found in archaea, bacteria and eukarya as well as chloroplasts and mitochondria. Its best characterised activity is the generation of mature 5'-ends of tRNAs by cleaving the 5'-leader elements of precursor-tRNAs. Cellular RNase Ps are ribonucleoproteins.
Source: RNAcentral